UACGUAGGGGGCAAGCGUUAUCCGGAUUUACUGGGUGUAAAGGGAGCGCAGGCGGUAUGGCAAGUCAGAUGUGAAAACCCAGGGCUCAACCCUGGGACUGCAUUGGAAACUGGCGGGCUUGAGUGCCGGAGAGGCAAGCGGAAUUCCUAGUGUAGCGGUGAAAUGCGUAGAUAUCAGGAGGAACACCAGUGGCGAAGGCGGCUUACUGGACUGUAACUGACGUUGAGGCUCGAAAGCGUGGGGAGCAAACAGG
Molecule: ribosomal RNA, 253 nt
Filed under: uncultured Eubacteriales bacterium
Lineage: Bacteria; Bacillati; Bacillota; Clostridia; Eubacteriales
Description: uncultured Clostridiales bacterium partial 16S ribosomal RNA
Rfam family: Bacterial small subunit ribosomal RNA
Source: RNAcentral